RNA transcript from Drosophila miranda, 5296 nucleotides. RefSeq lists it as uncharacterized. Lineage: Eukaryota; Metazoa; Arthropoda; Insecta; Diptera; Drosophilidae. The record is from RefSeq and is a predicted model, not a curated record. The transcript is spliced from 12 exons.
ACAGAUAAGUGACGCCUCUCGUGUUGGCACAAAUUGCACAAUGAAAAUUUUGUGUGCUUGAUUUGCCUCAUGCCUCAAAGCACAACUUAAUACUCAAAGGAUACGUGUUUGGCCAUAUGUUUGGAAUUAGGGUAAAACAUGUUUUACAUGUUCUCGCAACGCAAUCGUCGACUUGGGGGAUGCAGCCAUAAUGAUUUCUACAGAUACGGGUUACGUUUCAAAGAAAGCCAUCGACAGAAUGGUUUUUCUUUCACUUAAUACAAAUUAAUACCGAAGGACCAGCUGGAAUUAGCCAAUACAAGUUUUUUUUUUCAAAGUUCCAUGUUAAAAAAGAUAUAAUAAAAAAGAUGUCUGAUUGUGAUUAUUAUUAGCACUUAAUUAUUGUGUCAUAAUUUUUAAGGGGGGCUUAUAAGGGUUGUUAUCCAGUGUUGCUUUUCCCCUGAAUUAAAGCACAGAACCCCUUGAAGAACUGCCGCUGACAUUUUCAUUUCAUUUGACAGUUUUUUCAUGGCCAAGCAAGACCAAGAUAAAUGUUAUCUUAUUUUAUGUUUGGAUACGGCUCUCCCUUUUUAAUAAACUUUUAAAACUUAGUAGCCCUAUUCUUUGGUAGAUCAGGCAUAUUUGAAAUGGGAUUUUCCUCAGUCUGUUUCCAUUCCUGUUCCCGUAAACAUCUAUAUUGUUGAAUUUUCGUUCUAUUUGAAUUUUGACUUUGCUUACUUUGCUUGGAAGAGUUGGAAAAAAUUGAAUAUUAUUUCACAAAACAGUCCGAAGGGUUGGAGCUCCAAAGAUUGGCUGAAAUAAAUGUGCGAUUUAAGCACCUACAAAAUAUAGUCCAUGCGGAAGAUGAAAUCAUGGCAUACUUUAUGCUGGAAAUUAAAACAAUUUGCAGCACAAGAAGCCCCUGCUGUGGACCCUGCUGCAGUCCGUGCUGCAGUCCGUGCUGCGGUCCGUGCUGCAGCCCCUGCUGUGGACCCUGCUUCGGUCCGUGCUGCAGCCCCUGCUGUGGACCCUGCUGCAGUCCGUGCCGCAGUCCGUGCUGCAGCCCCUGCUGCACUCCCUGCUGCUCCCCCUGCUCCUAUCCCUGCUGCUAUCCCUGUGGGGCCCCAGGCGCUGGAUUCUGGUUCAGCCAAAUUUAUUGAUGCAAACAGCUAUGCAAUAAAAUCAUAACAAGAAACUACAUGAAAUCCGUACAAUUAAGCAAAUAAAAUUAGUUUUUAACUAUUUCAUGGACAAUAGUGCCAAAGGGAAGGCUAAUUUGGGGGCUGGGUGCUUAAAAAAUCACUUAAGGAUCCCCUACACUGUUGGGAUUAUAGGAUUUUUCUCGCUGAACACGAAUCAGGCCUCCAAAAGUGCAAUUACAUUGAUACGCCAUUGUGUAUCGCCCAUUGUGUAAAAAAAUAACAAUUUGUGGUAUACGAGGGUAUCUGUAGUCCUUAUGUAAAAAUUGUAUAUAUGUAGAUAUAAGAACCACCCGAUCAAAACAAAGACAGAAACUAGGCAGCAAUGUAAGCUCCCGUUCGUUGCUCCUUGCUCCGCAUUUGCUGAGAGCGUGGCCUGAGAGAGUGAAAGAGCGAGAGACACUCGUGUCAGCAGAGUGUGGAUGGCAUUUUAAUGUUUUUGUUGCUGAGAGAGCAAAUGGGUUCCGUUUGCCGAGAAUCCGAACUCCCUGCUCUCGUGUUCUCGCAAUCUCGCAUUGUUGAUGCUGAGAGAGCAGACGAAAGACACGAUCGGGAAUAAAAAGACAGCCACAAAGCAACUGCGAGAGUGUAUGUAUGUGUGCGUGCAUUGCGGUCGGGAAGCAAAGCUCUCGCUUGCAGAUGAAAUGAAGAUCAAGAGAUAAGACAAUUUGACAGUGCGCUUGGAGGCGAAGUACAAGAAAAAUGCAAGAAAAGAAGAAGCCUAAUCUCUGACACGGUCCUAACAAGUUUGGAUAUGUAGUAAAUCGAAUGCUGGAAGGCGAUUUAACAAUUUGGGUUUCCGCAAAGCCCUACAUGCCCUCGAAGACGGUUUCCAUCAACAGAGUCCUCUCAAGUGACCCCGACCAAUGGAAAAAAACCCUGCUGACGAGACUUUUGGCAAAGGCUUUACAUAAGAGUACCCACACCUUACAGUGCUUUAGAAAUGGGGCAGCUGUCGUUGGGAUACAAACCCCCAUUUCCUCCCCCCCCACAAAUAUAAUUUUUCACUAAAAAAUAUACAUCACAGUAGGCUGUAUUCUGUAACCUUUGGAAUAUUCAGGCCCUUAGUUGUAAAACCAAACAAUUUUUCAUUCGUUUUCCGGCUCUCGUUCAGGCAACAACUAAAAAUUAUUUUCGGGAAAAAAAAAUUAUGAAAAUUAUUUGAGUAAAAAAAUUUGUGUGUAAAAAUGUUUACGCGAGUUAAAAAAUUUUGUUUGUGAAAAGUAUCACAAGUGUAAAAAUUAUUAUUCGUAAAUCCUAAUUCCAAUGAUGGCUAAAAGGAUGCAGCAAUAAUGAUUUCUACAGAUACGGGUUACGUUUCAAAGAAAGCCAUCGACAGAAUGGUUUUUCUUUCACUUAAUACAAAUUAAUACCGAAGGACCAGCUGGAAUUAGCCAAUACAAGUUUUUUUUUUCAAAGUUCCAUGUUAAAAAAGAUAUAAUAAAAAAGAUGUCUGAUUGUGAUUAUUAUUAGCACUUAAUUAUUGUGUCAUAAUUUUAAAGGGGGGCUUAUAAGGGUUGUUAUCCAGUGUUGCUUUUCCCCUGAAUUAAAGCACAGAACCCCUUGAAGAACUGCCGCUGACAUUUUCAUUUCAUUUGACAGUUUUUUCAUGGCCAAGCAAGACCAAGAUAAAUGUUAUCUUAUUUUAUGUUUGGAUACGGCUCUCCCUUUUUAAUAAACUUUUAAAACUUAGUAGCCCUAUUCUUUGGUAGAUCAGGCAUAUUUGAAAUGCGAUUUUCCUCAGUCUGUUUCCAUUCCUGUUCCCGUAAACAUCUAUAUUGUUGAAUUUUCGUUCUAUAGUUGGAAAAAAAAGAUUAUUUUUUCACAAAACAGUCCGAAGGGUUGGAGCUCCAAAGAUUGGCUGAAAUAAAUGUGCGAUUUAAGCACCUACAAAAUAUAGUCCAUGCGGAAGAUGAAAUCAUGGCAUACUUUAUGCUGAAAAUUAAAACAAUUUGCAGCACAAGAAGCCCCUGCUGUGGACCCUGCUGCAGUCCGUGCUGCAGUCCGUGCUGCAGUUCGUUCUGCAGCCCCUGCUGCACUCCCUGCUGCUCCCCCUGCUCCUAUCCCUGCUCCUAUCCCUGCUGCUAUCCCUGUGGGGCCCCAGGCGCUGGAUUCUGGUUCAGCCAAAUUUAUUGAUGCAAACAGCUAUGCAAUAAAAUCAUAACAAGAAACUACAUGAAAUCCGUACAAUUAAGCAAAUAAAAUUAGUUUUUAACUAUUUCAUGGACAAUAGUGCCAAAGGGAAGGCUAAUUUGGGGGCUGGGUGCUUAAAAAAUCACUUAAGGAUCCCCUUCACUGUUGGGAUUAUAGGAUUUUUCUCGCUGAACACGAAUCAGGCCUCCAAAAGUGCAAUUACAUUGAUACGCCAUUGUGUAUCGCCCAUUGUGUAAAAAAAUAACAAUUUGUGGUAUACGAGGGUAUCUGUAGUCCUUAUGUAAAAAUUGUAUAUAUGUAGAUAUAAGAACCACCCGAUCAAAACAAAGACAGAAACUAGGCAGCAAUGUAAGCUCCCGUUCGUUGCUCCUUGCUCCGCAUUUGCUGAGAGCGUGGCCUGAGAGAGUGAAAGAGCGAGAGACACUCGUGUCAGCAGAGUGUGGAUGGCAUUUUAAUGUUUUUGUUGCUGAGAGAGCAAAUGGGUUCCGUUUGCCGAGAAUCCGAACUCCCUGCUCUCGUGUUCUCGCAAUCUCGCAUUGUUGAUGCUGAGAGAGAAGACGAAAGACACGAUCGGGAAUAAAAAGACAGCCACAAAGCAACUGCGAGAGUGUAUGUAUGUGUGCGUGCAUUGCGGUCGGGAAGCAAAGCUCUCGCUUGCAGAUGAAAUGAAGAUCAAGAGAUAAGACAAUUUGACAGUGCGCUUGGAGGCGAAGUACAAGAAAAAUGCAAGAAAAGAAGAAGCCUAAUCUCUGACACGGUCCUAACAAGUUUGGAUAUGUAGUAAAUCGAAUGCUGGAAGGCGAUUUAACAAUUUGGGUUUCCGCAAAGCCCUACAUGCCCUCGAAGACGGUUUCCAUCAACAGAGGCCUCUCAAGUGACCCCGACCAAUGGAAAAAAACCCUGCUGACGAGACUUUUGGCAAAGGCUUUACAUAAGAGUACCCACACCUUACAGUGCUUUAGAAAUGGGGCAGCUGUCGUUAGGAUACAAACUCCCAUUUCCUCCCCCCCCACAAAUAUAAUUUUUCACUAAAACAUAUACAUCACAGUAGGCUGUAUUCUGUAACCUUUGGAAUAUUCAGGCCCUUAGUUGUAAAACCAAACAAAUUUUCAUUCGUUUUCCGGCUCUCGUUCAGGCAACAACUAAAAAUUAUUUUCGGGAAAAAAAAAUUAUGAAAAUUAUUUGAGUAAAAAAAUUUGUGUGUAAAAAUGUUUACGCGAGUUAAAAAAUUUUGUUUGUGAAAAGUAUCACAAGUGUAAAAAUUAUUAUUCGUAAAUCCUAAUUCCAAUGAUGGCUAAAAGUAUCUCCACACUCCAUACUCCAAACUACACAAUCCACACUUUAAGCUACCCAGUCCACACUCAUUGAACCGCAUUUCAAUCUACCAGACUCUUAUACACAAACUACACUUCGAUAAGCAUAUACAUAUGUAUAAGCAUACUUCUUAUACGCUAAUCUGCACACUUAUACUCUGAUCUGCACACUUAUCUACACUCUACGCCAAUCUGCGGAGUUAUUUACACUCUACGCCAAUCUGCGGAGUUAAUUACACUCUACGCCAAUCUGAAAUCUUAUUUACACUCUACGCCAAUCUGCAAAACUAACCUACACUCUACGCACUGGACGCACUUCAGCAAAGCAAAUGAAAAAUGGUCGAUUAACACAACUCAAUACUCAAAGGAUACGUGUUUGGCCAUAUGUUUGGAAUUAGGGUAAAACAUGUUUUACAUGUUCUCGCAACGCAAUCGUCUACUUGGGGGAUGCAGCAAUAAUGAUUUCUACAGAUACGGGUUACGUUUCAAAGAAAGCCAUCGACAGAAUGGUUUUUCUUUCACUUAAUACAAAUUAAUACCGAAGGACCAGCUGGAAUUAGCCAAUACAAGUUUUUUUUUUCAAAGUUCCAUGUUAAAAAUGUUUCAUUUGACAGUUUUUUCAUGGCCAAGCAAGACCAUGACCGGCAUAAC